Molecule: non-coding RNA, 312 nt
Organism: Vicia faba (fava bean)
Lineage: Eukaryota; Viridiplantae; Streptophyta; Magnoliopsida; Fabales; Fabaceae
Source: the annotation of a GenBank genome assembly
AUGUCUGGGCGUGGAAAGGGAGGAAAAGGAUUGGGAAAGGGAGGAGCAAAACGACACCGUAAGGUGCUCCGUGAUAACAUCCAAGGAAUUACGAAACCUGCCAUUCGUCGUUUGGCUCGACGAGGUGGAGUGAAGCGUAUCAGUGGUUUAAUCUACGAAGAAACAAGAGGUGUUUUGAAGAUCUUUUUGGAGAAUGUGAUUCGUGAUGCUGUUACUUACACUGAGCACGCUAGGAGGAAGACGGUUACUGCCAUGGAUGUGGUUUAUGCUUUGAAGAGGCAGGGAAGGACUCUUUAUGGAUUUGGGGGUUAG